RNAcentral lists this ribosomal RNA (406 nucleotides) under Oscillospiraceae bacterium. RNAcentral describes it as "bacterial SSU rRNA". It matches the Rfam family "Bacterial small subunit ribosomal RNA", at positions 355 to 776 of the family's 1533-position model. RNAcentral also lists the same sequence under 1 other name. The record is from RNAcentral. Lineage: Bacteria; Bacillati; Bacillota; Clostridia; Eubacteriales; Oscillospiraceae.
UGGGGAAUAUUGCGCAAUGGGGGAAACCCUGACGCAGCAACGCCGCGUGAUUGAAGAAGGUCUUCGGAUUGUAAAAAUCUUUUAUCAAGGACGAAGAAGUGACGGUACUUGAUGAAUAAGCUCCGGCUAACUACGUGCCAGCAGCCGCGGUAAUACGUAGGGAGCAAGCGUUAUCCGGAUUUACUGGGUGUAAAGGGCGAGUAGGCGGAUUGGCAAGUUGGGAGUGAAAUGUCGGGGCUUAACCCCGGAACUGCUUCCAAAACUGUUGAUCUUGAGUGAUGGAGAGGCAGGCGGAAUUCCCAGUGUAGCGGUGAAAUGCGUAGAUAUUGGGAGGAACACCAGUGGCGAAGGCGGCCUGCUGGACAUUAACUGACGCUGAGGAGCGAAAGCGUGGGGAGCAAACAGG